Molecule: ribosomal RNA, 137 nt
Filed under: Vibrio cholerae
Lineage: Bacteria; Pseudomonadati; Pseudomonadota; Gammaproteobacteria; Vibrionales; Vibrionaceae
Description: partial 16S ribosomal RNA
Rfam family: Bacterial small subunit ribosomal RNA
Source: RNAcentral
UUAAUUGAAGAGUUUGAUCAUGGCUCAGAUUGAACGCUGGCGGCAGGCCUAACACAUGCAAGUCGAGCGGCAGCACAGAGGAACUUGUUCCUUGGGUGGCGAGCGGCGGACGGGUGAGUAAUGCCUGGGAAAUUGCC